RNAcentral lists this transfer RNA (61 nucleotides) under Ochrobactrum sp. RNAcentral's name for it is "tRNA-Ser". It matches the Rfam family "tRNA". Rfam says of the family: Transfer RNA (tRNA) molecules are approximately 80 nucleotides in length. Their secondary structure includes four short double-helical elements and three loops (D, anti-codon, and T loops). Further hydrogen bonds mediate the characteristic L-shaped molecular structure. tRNAs have two regions of fundamental functional importance: the anti-codon, which is responsible for specific mRNA codon recognition, and the 3' end, to which the tRNAs corresponding amino acid is attached (by aminoacyl-tRNA synthetases). tRNAs cope with the degeneracy of the genetic code in two manners: having more than one tRNA (with a specific anti-codon) for a particular amino acid; and 'wobble' base-pairing, i.e. permitting non-standard base-pairing at the 3rd anti-codon position. Lineage: Bacteria; Pseudomonadati; Pseudomonadota; Alphaproteobacteria; Hyphomicrobiales; Brucellaceae. The record is from RNAcentral.
GGUCCCGUAGCUCAGUUGGAUAGAGNNGGGGUCGCAGGUUCGAAUCCUGCCGGGAUCGCCA